This 440-nucleotide ribosomal RNA is filed under the name uncultured bacterium. RNAcentral's name for it is "partial 16S ribosomal RNA". It matches the Rfam family "Bacterial small subunit ribosomal RNA", at positions 338 to 795 of the family's 1533-position model. The record is from RNAcentral.
CCUACGGGUGGCAGCAGUAGGGAAUAUUGCUCAAUGGGGGAAACCCUGAAGCAGCAACGCCGCGUGGAGGAUGAAGGUUUUAUGAUUGUAAACUCCUUUUGUUAGAGAAGAUUAUGACGGUAUCUAACGAAUAAGCACCUGCUAACUCCGUGCCCGCAGCCGCGGUAAUACGGAGGGUGCAAGCGUUACUCGGAAUCACUGGGCGUAAAGAGUGCGUAGGCGGGGUAAUAAGUCAGAUGUGAAAUCCUGUAGCUUAACUACAGAGCUGCAUUUGAAACUGUUACUCUGGAGUGUGGGAGAGGUAGGUGGAAUGCUUGGUGUAGGGGUAAAAUGCGUAGAGAUCAAGAGGAAUACUCAUUGCGAAGGCGACCUGCUGGAACAUUACUGACGCUGAUGCACGAAAGCGUGGGGAGCAAACAGGAUUAGAUACCCCUGUAGUC